GUGAAGAACGCAGCGAAAUGCGAUAAGUAAUGUGAAUUGCAGAAUUCAGUGAAUCAUCGAAUCUUUGAACGCACAUUGCGCCCGCUGGUAUUCCGGCGGGCAUGCCUGUUCGAGCGUCAUUUCAACCCUCAAGCUCUCCGGAGUUUGGUGUUGGGGCGCCUGGGGCUUUUCGACCUCAGGGCCCUCAAGUCCAUCGGCGGGACCGCCAGGACACUGAGCGCAGUAGUAUUAUUUCGCUCGGUAGGAUCUUCCACGGCGGGUCGAUCUGGCCGCUAAACCCCCCAAUUCUCACCAAAGGUUGACCUCGGAUCAGGUAGGAAUACCCGCUGAACUUAAGCAUAUCAAUAAGCGGAGGA
This 356-nucleotide unclassified non-coding RNA is filed under the name soil metagenome. RNAcentral's name for it is "partial contains 5.8S ribosomal RNA, internal transcribed spacer 2, and large subunit ribosomal RNA". The stretch from base 2 to 119 matches the Rfam family "5.8S ribosomal RNA", at positions 37 to 154 of the family's 154-position model. The record is from RNAcentral.